UACAAAAACAUUUACAAUGACUCUCCGACAUCUGAAUCAGAAGGUUCCUCAGCGAGCCCUGUAAACACUAAACACGCAGAUGAAGAUGCUGUGGAAGCUGAGGGGCGUGAGGUAAAAAGACUCAGAUUUGACAAAGAAAGUGAGAUGGCCAGUCAGACAUCUGUCAGUGAAAUUUCUUCAGUUAUGGUAGAAGGAACAGAAGCAUCAUCGUCAUCUCAGGAUAAAGACAAGGAAAGCAGUUGUACCAGGCAGCGCUGUACAGAAGAGGAUGAAGAAGAGGAUGAAGAGGAAGAAGAAGGUAUUUAGAGACCAUCUGUAAAAGAGUGGAGUAAGGAGAUCCUCAAAUUCUUGUACUUCAUUUUUGCGUGAAAGAAUUUAACAUAAUGGAGGAUGAGGAGGGUUAGAAAUAGCCUGUUGC
This is a long non-coding RNA of Diceros bicornis minor, 418 nucleotides long. RefSeq lists it as uncharacterized. The record is from RefSeq and is a predicted model, not a curated record. NCBI's taxonomy places the organism in Eukaryota, Metazoa, Chordata, Mammalia, Perissodactyla, Rhinocerotidae. The transcript is spliced from 3 exons.